This 253-nucleotide ribosomal RNA is filed under the name uncultured bacterium. RNAcentral describes it as "partial 16S ribosomal RNA". It matches the Rfam family "Bacterial small subunit ribosomal RNA", at positions 524 to 776 of the family's 1533-position model. The record is from RNAcentral.
UACGUAGGGUGCAAGCGUUGUCCGGAAUUAUUGGGCGUAAAGAGCUCGUAGGCGGUUCGUCGCGUCGGCUGUGAAAACCCGGAGCUCAACUCCGGGCCUGCAGUCGAUACGGGCGGACUCGAGUUCGGCAGGGGAGACUGGAAUUCCUGGUGUAGCGGUGAAAUGCGCAGAUAUCAGGAGGAACACCGGUGGCGAAGGCGGGUCUCUGGGCCGAUACUGACGCUGAGGGGCGAAAGCGUGGGGAGCGAACAGG